This 305-nucleotide ribosomal RNA is filed under the name uncultured bacterium. RNAcentral's name for it is "bacterial SSU rRNA". It matches the Rfam family "Bacterial small subunit ribosomal RNA", at positions 337 to 640 of the family's 1533-position model. The record is from RNAcentral.
CCCUACGGGAGGCAGCAGUGAGGGAUAUUGGUCAAUGGGGGAAACCCUGAACCAGCAACGCCGCGUGAGGGAAGACGGCCCUAUGGGUUGUAAACCUCUUUUGUCGGAGAACAAAACCCGGGACGUGUCCCGGACUGCGUGUAUCCGAAGAAAAAGCAUCGGCUAACUCCGUGCCAGCAGCCGCGGUAAUACGGAGGAUGCGAGCGUUAUCCGGAUUUAUUGGGUUUAAAGGGCGCGUAGGCGGUCCGUUAAGUCAGCGGUAAAAUUGCGGGGCUCAACCCCGUCGAGCCGUUGAAACUGGCAGA